Athene cunicularia (burrowing owl) is the source of this 3656-nucleotide RNA transcript. It is a transcript of the gene named WD repeat and FYVE domain containing 2, with no coding region annotated. The transcript has 13 exons. NCBI's taxonomy places the organism in Eukaryota, Metazoa, Chordata, Aves, Strigiformes, Strigidae. The record is from RefSeq and is a predicted model, not a curated record.
CCCCGCGGCGCCCAUGGCGGCGGAGCCUCAGCCCAGGGCGCUGACUCGCAAGCCCCUCCUGCUCAACAAAGUGGAGGGCUCGCAGGAGGUGGUGAACAUGGCAGCGAUAGUGCCCAAGGAGGACGGGGUCAUCAGCGUCUCCGAGGACAGAACAGUUCGUGUCUGGCUGAAGAGAGACAGUGGACAGUACUGGCCCAGCAUAUACCAUGCAAUGCCAUCUCCAUGUUCAUGCAUGUCUUUUAACCCGGAAACCAGAAGGCUGUCCAUAGGUCUAGACAAUGGUACAAUCUCAGAAUUCAUUUUAUCAGAAGAUUACAACAAGAUGACACUAGUGAAAAGUUACCAGGCUCAUCAAAGCAGGGUCAUAAUGAUUCUGUUUGUCCUGGAGAUGGAGUGGGUGUUGAGCACCGGACAAGACAAACACUUCACGUGGCACUGUUCGGAGAGCGGGCAGCGGCUGGGAGGGUACCGCACCAGCGCAGGCGCCUGUGGCCUGCAAUUUGAUGUGGAAACCCGGCACGUGUUUGUGGGUGAUCAUUCAGGGCAAGUGACCAUACUCAAACUAGAGCAAGAGUCCUGCAGCCUUGUUACAACAUUUAAGGGACACACAGGUGGUGUCACUGCUCUCUGUUGGGACCCAAUACAGCGAGUUUUAUUUUCGGGCAGUUCUGAUCAUUCCAUUAUAAUGUGGGAUAUUGGAGGAAGAAAAGGAACAGCUAUUGAACUGCAAGGACAUAAUGAUAAAGUUCAGUCUCUCUCCUAUGCUCACCACACUCGGCAGCUCAUCUCCUGUGGUGCAGAUGGUGGAAUCGUUGUCUGGAACAUGGAUGUGGAGAGGCAGGAGACUCCAGAGUGGCUGGAUAGUGACUCCUGUCAGAAAUGUGACCAGCCUUUCUUCUGGAACUUCAAGCAAAUGUGGGACAGUAAGAAAAUAGGCCUCAGGCAGCAUCACUGCCGGAAGUGUGGGAAAGCCGUGUGUGGCAAAUGCAGCUCCAAGCGCUCCUCCAUCCCACUGAUGGGGUUUGAGUUUGAAGUGAGAGUCUGCGAUAGCUGUCAUGAAUCCAUAACGGAUGAAGAACGGGCGCCCACAGCUACUUUCCAUGACAGUAAGCACAACAUUGUUCACGUACACUUUGAUGCCACCAGGGGAUGGCUGUUGACCUCAGGGACAGACAAGGUUAUUAAGUUGUGGGAUAUGACACCAGUAGUGUCUUGAUGGUACAUCAGUGGAACUUGAAACGGUGAUAUUUAUGGAAGAAACAGAUAUCCUAACGCUAAUCAUACUGCAGAAGAUAGACAACGCUGGGCUCGUACAGCAGAUGAGAAAGGAACCAAUGUGUUUACAAUGAUUUUACGUCCUCUGCUUGAUCAAGGCUGAACAUUUGCACGAAGACUCUUUCCACUUAUUCUCAAAAUAUACAAGAAGCUAGGUGCUUGUUUCCUCUUGGAAGGCUUUUCAUUACACCUGUGCAUGUUUUCUGAUGACUGAAGUGUACUUGGCUGACGAAGCUAUGCAAGAUGAGCAAGUUGCCUGCCAAUAUUUCACUUCAGCUGAAGAAGAUGUAUAAAACUUUGCUGGACUAUGGUGUGCCACGUUACCUUGUGCUCAGGGCCUUUUGGUCAAAGACCUGACUUGCUUUGCUGUGCAGAGAGUAUCUCUAACAGUGGCAGAAACAUGGGAGCACCAAAGUGAACUUAAAUCACCGUUGCAACAAGCCUGGGACUCCAGCAUGAAUUGUGCCUAUACUGAUGGAGCAGUGGAGUCAGCAAGCUGAGGAUCUGCUCCUGGAUCAAGACCUAGUCCUUUUGAACGUGUAACGAUCAAACAAAGGUGAGGAACUGUCUCCACAGGAGACUAAAUUUGGGAGCAAGGUGUGUUUGGACGGCUCUGCAGUAAACUUUUGGCCAGCCCCCCUUCUCUUCCAAGGAGUUGUGGUUUCAGUGUUGCUUCUGAGUGGAUGUUAGGCAUACAAAUACGUUUUGCAAAAUUUCCCUUGCUGUUCUUUCUGACUAAAUUACCUGCAGGGUUUUCUGAAUUUAAGAUGAACAUCCCCUUAUUUUGCUGUCUCAGGACAAACUGGUCUUGGCUUAGAAAAUUAUAUAAGCUUAAAGUGAAGCUGAGGGGGAAAGGGAAGUUUGUCCCUUUGUUAUGACCUUAAGAGCGAUAAUGUAGAGAUAUGAAGGGAAAAUAGAUGUGUCUAAUUCAAACAAUAAUUCCUUUACCUCGCAAAUGAAACAAGGAUUUGAUGUUGAGAGAGUUAAAACACCUGCCUUCCUGUUCUGCCAUGUUAAGGUAACAAUCUCAGUUUCUUCUGUCUUCUAGAUCUGCACAGAAAGGGAUUCCUGUUGCCUGAUCCUUUUCUUUCCAUUUUAGUUGCUUAACAAAUCUAAGCUAUUUUUAUAAAUUGCAUUAUUUGGGGGGUAGGGUAUAUCUUUUGGUACAGAUGGAAACUAUGCAGCACCCCCACACGCACACCCACACACACUCAAGUGGAGCAAAGUCCCUUUCUCCCCAGGGCUGAUGAAGUGCAGCAGCAGGCUUUUAGUGGUAUCUCCUGCUGUGCCAAGGGGCAUACAAACAAUGUUGGCCUUUCUCUGCUCUUCACUUCAGAAAAAUUGAUUUUCAUUUCUCUCUUAGAUGGUGUUUCCUUGGGGGAGGAAGCAAUGUUCUUCAGAGCAUCUAUCUGCUAUUCUUGGCUUUAAAAUGAACAGUAUCUGUAGAACUUAGGCAGGUGAUGGGGCAGGCACUGGUCACAUAUGCAGUGCCUGAGCAGCUGACUUGAGCCAUUUGCGUUCCAGGUGGCUGAAGGAGGAUCAACCUGAGCCCCAAACUUCAGUAUUUUUAAGCUGAAAAUACUUAAGCAAAAGGAAAAGUAUCUGGGCAAUUGCUUGCAACGAUAGCACUGAUGGUCCUUCCGUCUGCAGGAGACUAACACCAUGGUUAGAGAUGGUUGAAACAGAGUAGUGCAUAGAGCUAAAAGUCAGCCAGUGUGAUGGAGCAUAGUCCCAAAUGAUGACAUUAGCGUGCUUGACUGUCAGCUGUAGACAAGAGUGCUACUCUUCACAGUGAAGCCCAGCUGACUGCCCCACCUCAUCCUCUUGAACUUGAGGCCAUGACCUGAAUGUCAGCACGUUGACUCUUAGCACAUCAAAAGUGAUAGCUGCACUUCGCCUGAGAGGGUGGCAUGAGUGUCUCCAGUACUGGGAAGAGAAAGGAGGGAUGCGUUCCCUCUGCAAAGGGUUGGUUGCUGAUAAGAAGGUGGAUGGCUGGAUGCACAAAAGGAUUGUGCGUGAUCCAAAAAAGAUGUAAGGGGAGAAAAAGGUUGCUUUAUGCCUGCUGAGGAAAUCACUGUUAGAGAGGAAUAUGCAGCCUUUUUUUCCCAACUGUGUCCAGUGCUGGGAUCCCCAGUACAAGAGAGAGAUGAACCUACUGGAUAAAAUCCAGCAAAGGACCAUGAAGAUGACAAAGGUACUGGAGCAUCUCUCCUAUGAGGAAAGGCUGAGAGAGCUGGGAGUGUUCAUCCCAGAGAAAAGGCGGCUCAGGGGGGAUCUCCUCAAUGUAUAUAAAUACCUGAGGGGAGGGUGCAGAGAGAAUGGAGCCAGGCUCUUUCCAGUGGUGCCCAGUGUCAGGACCAGAGGCAAUGGGCACAAAGCUG